This 399-nucleotide long non-coding RNA is filed under the name Monodelphis domestica (gray short-tailed opossum). RNAcentral describes it as "lncRNA (ENSMODG00000034252.2)". Lineage: Eukaryota; Metazoa; Chordata; Mammalia; Didelphimorphia; Didelphidae. The record is from RNAcentral.
GUCAAAAUGUUCUUGAUAUUCAGACUAAGUUUUCAUUUUAUCAAAUUUCAGACAUUAUUCAGAAGUUGGAACAACAGAAGAAAGUAAAGGAUAAGAAUCCAGUGUCCCCUAGCCUAUUUGUAAAAAGGGACAUGGUCCCUCAAACUACAAAAGUGGUAUUUGGGGCUCAGUAUCCUGGUCUGUCUCCAUUGUGGUCUGAGGAGAGAGAUCUUCUAUUAAGCAUUUACCAGCAUACCCCUGCUAAAUGCCUUCCCAGCUUGAUAGAACCUGCCAGCUCUUGCAGUCGACUGAUUAUAAGAAACCAGGAUGACCUGCCUAUACAAGGUUAUUCCACUUCCACAGAGAUAACAUGAAGUAAAAUGCAGAACAAUUAAUAAAUCGAUGCAAAAUAAUUCUGCA